This 253-nucleotide unclassified non-coding RNA is filed under the name uncultured Bacillaceae bacterium. RNAcentral describes it as "contains 16S-23S intergenic spacer region". It matches the Rfam family "Bacterial small subunit ribosomal RNA", at positions 524 to 776 of the family's 1533-position model. Lineage: Bacteria; Bacillati; Bacillota; Bacilli; Caryophanales; Bacillaceae. The record is from RNAcentral.
UACGUAGGAGGCAAGCGUUGUCCGGAAUUAUUGGGCGUAAAGCGCGCGCAGACGGUUCCUUAAGUCUGAUGUGAAAGCCGACGGCUCAACCGUGGAGGGUCAUUGGAAACUGGGGAACUUGAGUGCAGAAGAGAAGAGCGGAAUUCCACGUGUAGCGGUGAAAUGCGUAGAGAUGUGGAGGAACGCCAGUGGCGAAGGCGACUCUCUGGUCUGUAACUGACGCUGAGGAGCGAAAGCGUGGGGAGCGAACAGG